AAUAGAUAACGCCAUUGACUUUUUCUCACAUGUUUGACCAUUCGUCUUAUUCAAAAAAUUUAUAUAAUUAUAAUUUAUUUUAUUAUGAGUUGUUUUAUCACUCAUAGUACUUUAAGUGUGAUUUAUAUCUUAUACAUUUGCAUAAAUUUUUUAAAUAAGACGAAUGGUUAAACAUGUGAGAAAAAGUCAACGGCGGCGUAUAUU
Oryza sativa Japonica Group (Japanese rice) is the source of this 204-nucleotide microRNA precursor. It matches the Rfam family "MIR812 microRNA precursor family". NCBI's taxonomy places the organism in Eukaryota, Viridiplantae, Streptophyta, Magnoliopsida, Poales, Poaceae. The record is from Rfam.